This is a long non-coding RNA of Ipomoea triloba (trilobed morning glory), 2058 nucleotides long. RefSeq lists it as uncharacterized. Lineage: Eukaryota; Viridiplantae; Streptophyta; Magnoliopsida; Solanales; Convolvulaceae. The record is from RefSeq and is a predicted model, not a curated record. The transcript is spliced from 4 exons.
AUUACCUACAUAUCACCAUGUUACUGCAUUUAUAUCUGCAUGCCAAAAGAAAUGAAAUGACAUGAAAUGGUAUUGCUACCUUAUUAAGAUAAUUGAAGGUUACAAUUGAAUUUGUUCCUCAUGAUGUCAUCAACAUGAAUUUGUUCCUCAUGAUGUCAUCAAUUGAUCUUCAAUUUGUAACAUAGAUUUCUUUUUUGGUGCUCUUCUCCCCUUGUUACAUAGCAGAAAAUUCCAAGUGCUAUCAUUGAUCACAAUUGCCUUGUAAAUUGUCUUGACUAUUUGGAAGGGCUUGAGAAGAAAAAUCAUAUUCUUUAAAGAAGUUGCAGAACAGUUAUGCCUUUCGCCAACAAAUCAGAGAAUGCAAGGUUCUAUAACAGAGAAAUUAUAUUGGACUGAUGUUUUUCAACUUGGAGUACAUGGAGGCUAAGGCUGUACUGCCCAUUUGUCUUUUAGAAUUUGGGAGUCAUUACAAUUUAUAUAUGGUAAAUCCUCCAACUCUCCAAGAAGGGAAAAAUGGAAUUUGCAAACAGUAUCUUGGGUGAUGGUGAUUUCCUACAUCUCAAGUGAUUAGUCUUGAGAUGUUAUUGCUUGGAGGAGUUCCCUUUGUGUUUAACAGAAAAUUUGACCCUUUUGUCAAUUAAGUUGGAUCUAGCGUAACACUUCUGUGGUUGCUUUUGCGAAGCAUAUUCGAGACUGGCAAGUUGAAAGGGGAAACCUCAUUUUUAAGGUUAGAAGUUACAACAUAUGAUCCAUUGUCAAUUAUUUCUUUUCUAUUCCAUAUAUCCUUUACAAACUUGUUUCUAUUUCUUUUUCUGAUCUCAUUUUGUUUAACUGUGAUCUUUGUUUCAAGCAAAGGGCUUUAGCUCCUGUAGUCAUUCUUCAGGUGAGUUUUUAACCAUUUUGUUUUAAGCAGCUGAAUUCUCUAGACUAUAGAUGCAUCACAUUCUAGAAAUAGCUUGUAGAACUUGCAAAACUAGUAUUCUUCAAAAUGGUUGUAGACUCUUCAGAAGAAACAAGCCUUUUCCCCCAACAAGAAUUAUAUUAGACUGAUGUUGCUUUGUAUGUUCACUUAAUAACUAUUGAACCACAUUAACUACUACUUAUAUUGUAUUACUCAAAUGAAUGAAACUUUCAAUUUGCCAACACGGCAACAACUCAAAGUAUGAAAUAAAUAAUGGAGAAGCUCUCAAAACUCACACCUCUUUGAUGACUAAGAACACUAUUUUUAUGAUGAUGAUGAUGUGUUUUGCACUCUUUAACGUGUAAACAAGGUAGUGAGGAGAUUUUUAAAAGGUUGAUAGCAACUUGGAGUGCAAAUGAAGGAACUUGUAGCGGUGGGUACUACAUUUUCCUUUUUUGUGUAGAUGAAUGUGCACUUGUAGAACAUGGCUGGGAAGAGCUUGUGCGCUACACCUGUUCAAAAUAUGAUACUCAAUAAAAAUCAAAUAUCUGAAUUUUUAAUAGAACAAAAUCAAAAAGAAAAUUAAAAGUUGCCUAGAGGUUCAUAUAUGCUAGUGUUCUUUUAGUGUUCUUUUAGAAAUAAAAAAUAUCAGUUUUGAAAAAGCAAGGAGUUUUGCGUGAUACCUUAAUAUCAUUCUUGCAAAGUUAUAGAUAUAGACAUAGUGAAGUGAAAGUAGAGUAAAUGGUUCUUCCAAAGUCUUCUUGCUUGCAGGCACUCACUGGUUGGUUUCCAUCUGAUGAGAAUGCAUAUCCCAAAGCUAGCCAUGUGGGCUUUAUUCUUGUCUUAGUAGAAGAUGGCAAAUGCUUAUGAACUUGAAGUAGUGAUGUUUCUAUGCUGAUUGAUUACUUGACAAUUAAGAUCAAGAACCACUUUAAAUCUGCACCUAUCUUAGCAUGUAGAAAAAUUUCAAACUGGGAAGCUGGUAGUGCUCAAUCUAUCGGAGAUGUAAGCGGAAUUUCAUGGUUAUUUGUUCUGUCUCUGCCUAUUUCAUCUGGUGCCUAUAUGUGAUGAUCAUACUAUACAUCUCUGUUUCUUUUCUCUACCUCUUGCAAUUAUUCCUGACUACUAAUGUGCUUUUGCAGAUUGGUAUGUCAAUU